CUCGGCGGAGCCGGCGCUGCGAAUGGACUGAUGGCCGCUGAGGCUGCUCCUGGCGCGGUUCAUCAUCGGCCGCCGCACUUUCGCGACUGAGACGAAACGACACUCACCUUUACUUAAUGGAAGGCUUCGCUUACAUCCUGAACUUAAAGGAACUACAGAAAGGGACAGAAACUGCUUUCUUUUUAAACAAUGCGCUGAAAGGUUACUAGUGAUAGGAGGCUUAGUGAAGCGCGUGAUGUGAACGGCCACGCUGCAAGGCUGGAGAGAAAAGAGGAGGGAGUGAAGUUGCACCCUGAUCGCGAAUCCUCGGCCUUUUAUCAGGGGCGCCGCCACUCGGGGUCCGACCAUUCGCCUCCAACGAGGGGACAGCGAAUCUGCUGUCGUGUGCAGUCCACAGCAACCACAGGUAUAUGAAAUAAUGUCACUACAUCGGAGCAGCGCCUCUGCUUGCACACCUAUGGGAGUCUGCAGCUGUGACACGUAGAAGUUGGCCACAUCCAGGUCGGUGGCUCCAAAGUGGGCGGCCACACGCACACCCUCGUGCAACGUGAAGCUCACCUGAUGACCCACCAUGGCCAGCAGGCUGCGGAGGGGCAAAGCCACGGCUGAAGCCAUCAGGGCCCCGGGGCAGCCGGAGCACAGGCACGGGAAUGUUCACUGGAGUUUGCAUUGUCUUGGCUGUUGAGUGAAGAAAAAGAGCAGGAAGUCAUUACAUGGUAAGCAUGGGGCUAAUGGAGGAGGGAGGAGUGGAAGCAGAGGCUGGUCUACCAGGCA
Molecule: long non-coding RNA, 774 nt
Filed under: Homo sapiens (human)
Lineage: Eukaryota; Metazoa; Chordata; Mammalia; Primates; Hominidae
Description: non-protein coding GEMIN7-AS1:16
Source: RNAcentral